Molecule: long non-coding RNA, 288 nt
Organism: Sycon ciliatum
Lineage: Eukaryota; Metazoa; Porifera; Calcarea; Leucosolenida; Sycettidae
Exons: 5
Source: RefSeq, a predicted model, not a curated record
AGCUACAGAAGGAGAUGAGGAUGGUCAUUGUCUGUUUUUGAGCUGCGAACGGGCAGAAAGCUACACAAGGAGAUCAGGAUGGUCAUUGUCAUUUUAUAAGCUGCGAACGGGCAGAAAGCUACAGAAGGAGAUAAGGAUGGUCAUUGUCUGUUUCUGAGCUGCCAACAGCAGAAAGCUACAGGAGAUGAGGAUGGUCAUUAUCAUUUUCUGAGCUGAGAACGGGCAGAAAGCUACACAAGGAGAUGAGGAUGUUCAUAGUCUUUUUUUGAGCUGCGAACGGGCAGAAAG